GGAGAUUUAGCUCAGUGGUAGAGCGCUUGCCUAGCAAGCACAAGGCCCUGGGUUUGGUCCCCAGCUCUG
Molecule: transfer RNA, 69 nt
Filed under: Rattus norvegicus (Norway rat)
Lineage: Eukaryota; Metazoa; Chordata; Mammalia; Rodentia; Muridae
Rfam family: tRNA
About the family: Transfer RNA (tRNA) molecules are approximately 80 nucleotides in length. Their secondary structure includes four short double-helical elements and three loops (D, anti-codon, and T loops).
Source: Rfam by way of RNAcentral